Amphiprion ocellaris (clown anemonefish) is the source of this 1675-nucleotide long non-coding RNA. Lineage: Eukaryota; Metazoa; Chordata; Actinopteri; Pomacentridae. The record is from Ensembl.
CUCAAACUAGAUUUAUUUUAGAAAACAAAUCAACUUAGAGGCAUUUGUUCACACGUGUCUGAAUAGAAGGCCGUCCAAUCAGAUUCGAGGUCUUCACUCUGUAGUGCCAGAUGAUUCAUCCAUGAAUUCAGCAGCUACAGACUGAAAUGAAGCUCAUGCUGCCGUUAUUGAAUUCCUGUUCCAGAUCAAAUGUUCAGAGCUCACCUUGAAUGCAGCCGUCUGCUGUCUGAUAGUUUUUCUCAUUGUAGUCUUCAAUAAAGUCUUUUUCCUCAUGUCAGGAUGUGGUGAGACUCUUUCUCAGUCACUGCAGACGUCCCUCAUUGUGCAUCUCCAGAGAAGAAACAGAAAAACUGGUCACUGCUUCAGCAUCAAACGCUCUCCAGCAUUGAGAGUGUUUUAGGAAUUCAUUCAUUGUGUUGUGAACUUUGAAGGAGCAGAAACUUUACAGCUGCCAAAGAUAUGAGCUCCAAUUCUGGAUGUUUUAGGAAAUGAAGUUCAUCAAAUGAACACUUGAUUUUUGCUGAUAACUCUCAUUAAAUUACUGAAGAAAUCCAACAUAAAAACCUGUAAACUCUCAGGCAGCUUUUGUUAAAGUUUGUCUAUAAUUCUAUCAUCAUGUUCUGGAACCAGGACUCUGCAGAAGUUCCUUCAAUCAGAUACUUGUGUUUUGAUUUAAGGCCUCAGGUUUGAACGUACAGCAGAGGAUUAGAAAGGAGUGCUUUUAAUGUUUAAAUCAGUCCAGUAAAUGUUUGGCAUGAAAAUUAUUAAAAUUUUGAUUUAGAUAGAUUUACUACAAUACUGUAGUCUCACUUAAAUAUAUCCAAAUGAGUUCAGUGUAAUUACAUUUUAAAGAAUAUUUGAUUUCUUAAUCUCAAUACUGUAGGGUCUGACCCUAAAUAUUGUAAUAAUGAUGUACAUUUAAAUAAUAAAUAAUAUUGUAGUGCAGAGUCAUAAAUUUUGGACAGAAUUUAACACUCAUGUGUCCAUGGCAACGCUAAAGUUUCUGCUUCUUACUAAAGUUCACAACACAAGUAAAGAUUUCAAUGUAAAACUUCAGGGAUGACUGCUGACCAUAAGUAUUCUGAUCAAUACUUCAUGAUCAAUAUCAGGACAGAUGUUACAACUCCAGCUGUUGCAUUAGACUGCAGUUAUUCACAGAGAAAUUAAAACAUCACAUUCCUCAUAAAAACUAGAUGGGACUUUUAUUAAAUAAAGUGUUGGUGAAUAAACAGUGUAAAAAGUGCAAAGCAGCUCCAUUAAAUCAGGAGAUGUGACACUUCCACAGCAUGGAUCACCAUCUGCUGUGUUGAUUCAUAGCUGAAUCUCAGAAUGAACUGAGAUAGAAAAGCUGCUUUGAGCCGCAACAUUACGGUCUGACAAUCCAACACCAUCACAGUUUUCAUCUGGUUGUUUUGCUCCAACAUGCUGUGAAGUUCAGUUUUUACCUGAAUCAAUACAGAGAUUCUAUUUCCAACCAAGACUGGAAUAAAAAUUAGAAUGUUAUGAGGUUAUUAAUGCAACUAAAUCCUCUCAGAUGGAAGGAUUUACUUCUAAGUUCUAAUUCAAAUUUCAGUUGGAGCACAUUGCAUUCACAAAGAAAAACAGCGAUACCUUCAUAGCAACAUUUAAUAAACCUAAAGCUUCCCUGUUGGCUCAUUGGUGGAGUUUGUUACUG